GCCACGAGACCGAACAAGUGUAAAGUUGAAAAGAACUUUGAAGAGAGAGUUCAACGAGUACGUGAAACCGUUCGGGGGACGAGACCCGAUGAACGCGUCGGCGAGGAUUCAGUUUCGGCCGGACCGAUCUUCCUCCAAUGGAACGUCGCGACUCGUUGGGAAGCGGUCGUGGAGUUCGGUUAAUGUUCGCCGGAGUCCCGACGGCACGCCGCGCCGGGUUGGCUGUGGUCGUUCAUCAGAUUUCGUAGGCGCCCUG
Molecule: ribosomal RNA, 256 nt
Filed under: Livia jesoensis
Lineage: Eukaryota; Metazoa; Arthropoda; Insecta; Hemiptera; Liviidae
Description: partial 28S ribosomal RNA
Source: RNAcentral